This 85-nucleotide transfer RNA is filed under the name Hypericibacter terrae. RNAcentral describes it as "tRNA-Leu". Lineage: Bacteria; Pseudomonadati; Pseudomonadota; Alphaproteobacteria; Rhodospirillales; Dongiaceae. The record is from RNAcentral.
CGCCCGAUCCGCUAUGGCGGCGCCGUCCCGGAGACGGACGCGCCGGAGAUCCGCUGGCCGACCGGGUUCAUGCCCGGGCAGGCGG